RNAcentral lists this long non-coding RNA (643 nucleotides) under Hordeum vulgare. RNAcentral describes it as "long non-coding RNA (HVUL_LNC005111)". The record is from RNAcentral. Lineage: Eukaryota; Viridiplantae; Streptophyta; Magnoliopsida; Poales; Poaceae.
CAGAUCCGUUGAUGGCGUUCAUGGAGUAGCCGCAGGGCUCGAAGUCGAAGUCGCACACCUCCAUCUCAGGGAUGAUGUUGGAGAUACCAGAGAGCUUGGUCAUCUCCUUGGCACAGGAGACGUGGCCAUCAGCAGAAGUCUUGAAGAAGACAGAGGCCUUCUUCUUGUCAAGCCCAGUCAUGCACAUCUCCAGGGUGACCAUGGGCUGCUCGGGUUGCUCAGUGGCAUAGUAGAUGUGCCACUUCUGGCCAGGCUUCGCUGGGUCGCCAAUCACAUAGGCAUUGCCACCAGACUUCAGGUGGCCGAAGUAGCGGUUCAGGACAUCAACCUCCUCAGAGAAGCUCCUGUGGGGAGCAGGCUGUGCGCCGGGGAAGAUGAACAUCCCACGGGAGUACUUCACGGCAGCAAGCGGCAUGCACAGCUCCUCAGCUAGCUCAAGAAUCCUUGGAAUGGUGAGCAGAAGCAUGGUAGUCCCACAGGUCUUGAUCACAAUCUUCUGAGAGUAGAUAAACAGGCUCGACUCAGAUAGCACAUACGAGUCAAAGUCCUUGUUGGAGAGCUCGGACACAAUGGUGCACCGUGCAAGAUCAAGAACAGAGUCAAUCUGGGCCCUAGAGAGGGCGCGCAGGCCACGACCAUGAGG